GGCCGGUUAGCUCAGUUGGUUAGAGCGUGGUGCUAAUAACGCCAAGGUUGUGGGUUCGAUCCCCGUACGGGCCA
RNAcentral lists this transfer RNA (74 nucleotides) under Perca fluviatilis (European perch). It matches the Rfam family "tRNA". Rfam says of the family: Transfer RNA (tRNA) molecules are approximately 80 nucleotides in length. Their secondary structure includes four short double-helical elements and three loops (D, anti-codon, and T loops). The record is from Rfam by way of RNAcentral. Lineage: Eukaryota; Metazoa; Chordata; Actinopteri; Perciformes; Percidae.